RNAcentral lists this ribosomal RNA (484 nucleotides) under uncultured bacterium. Its description in RNAcentral is "partial 16S ribosomal RNA". It matches the Rfam family "Bacterial small subunit ribosomal RNA", at positions 29 to 507 of the family's 1533-position model. The record is from RNAcentral.
AUUGAACGCUGGCGGCAUGCUUUACACAUGCAAGUCGAACGGCAGCGCGGGCUUCGGCCUGGCGGCGAGUGGCGAACGGGUGAGUAAUGCAUCGGAACGUGCCCAGUAGUGGGGGAUAGCCCGGCGAAAGCCGGAUUAAUACCGCAUCCGACCUGAGGGUGAAAGCCGGGGACCGAAAGACCUCGCGCUAUUUGAGCGGCCGAUGUCGGAUUAGCUAGUUGGUGGGGUAAAGGCUUACCAAGCCGAGGAUCCGUAUCUGGUCUGAUAGGACGACCAGCCACACUGGGACUGAGACACGGCCCAGACUCCUACGGGAGGCAGCAGUGGGGAAUUUUGGACAAUGGGGGCAACCCUGAUCCAGCCAUGCCGCGUGCGGGAAGAAGGCCUUCGGGUUGUAAACCGCUUUUGUGCGGGAAGAAAUCCUCUGGGCUAAUACCCCGGGGGGAUGACGGUACCGGAAGAAUAAGCACCGGCUAACUACGUG